Molecule: ribosomal RNA, 253 nt
Filed under: uncultured bacterium
Lineage: Bacteria
Description: partial 16S ribosomal RNA
Rfam family: Bacterial small subunit ribosomal RNA
Source: RNAcentral
UACAGAGGUGGCAAGCGUUGUUCGGAAUUACUGGGCGUAAAGGGCGCGUAGGCGGCCGCCUAAGUCAGACGUGAAAUCCCCAAGCUUAACUUGGGAACUGCGUCUGAUACUGGGUGGCUUGAGUUCGGGAGAGGAAUGUGGAAUUCCAGGUGUAGCGGUGAAAUGCGUAGAUAUCUGGAGGAACACCGGUGGCGAAGGCGGCAUUCUGGACUACAACUGACACUGAGGAACGAAAGCCAGGGGAGCAAACGGG